AUUGCCUUAGUAACUGCGAGUGAAGCGGCAAAAGCUCAAAUUUGAAAUCUGGCACUUUUGGUGUCCGAGUUGUAAUUUGGAGGGGUAUCUUCGGAGAAUGGCACCGUUCUAUGUUCCUUGGAACAGGACAUCACAGAGGGUGAGAAUCCCGUGCUUGGACGGACCAGCCAUAAUCCACAUGAAGUGCCUCCGACGAGUCGAGUUGUUUGGGAAUGCAGCUCAAAAUGGGUGGUAAAUUUCAUCUAAAGCUAAAUAUUGGCGAGAGACCGAUAGCGCACAAGUAGAGUGAUCGAAAGAUGAAAAGCACUUUGAAAAGAGAGUUAAAAAGUACGUGAAAUUGUUGAAAGGGAAGCGCUUGAGAUCACACUCAGUUAAUGGUGAUCAACUGUUGCUUUUGCUCAGUGCACUUGCCAUUUGAUUGGGCCAGCAUCGGUUCUUGCAGUGGGAAAAACGGCUGGGGAAUGUAGCUCUUUCUCUGGAGGAGUGUUAUAGACCUUAUCAUUCAUACUGCUAGCUAGGACCGAGGACUGCACUCAUUUUAUGGGUUAGGAUGCUGGUGUUAAUGGUCUUAAGCGACCCGUCUUGAAACACGGACCAAGGAGUCUAACAACUAUGCGAGUGUUCGGGUGGAAAACCCUUGCGCGUAAUGAAAGUGAACGGAGGUGGGAACCUAAAAAAACAAAUUUUUUUUUUUUUUUUU
This 700-nucleotide ribosomal RNA is filed under the name Octosporopsis nicolai. Its description in RNAcentral is "partial 28S ribosomal RNA". It matches the Rfam family "Eukaryotic large subunit ribosomal RNA", at positions 74 to 762 of the family's 3401-position model. Lineage: Eukaryota; Fungi; Ascomycota; Pezizomycetes; Pezizales; Pyronemataceae. The record is from RNAcentral.